CCUACGGGCGGCAGCAGUGAGGAAUAUUGGUCAAUGGACGAGAGUCUGAACCAGCCAAGUAGCGUGAAGGAUGACUGCCCUCUGGGUUGUAAACUUCUUUUAUAAAGGAAUAAAACGAGGCACGUGUGCCUUUUUGCAUGUACUUUAUGAAUAAGGAUCGGCUAACUCCGUGCCAGCAGCCGCGGUAAUACGGAGGAUCCGAGCGUUAUCCGGAUUGAUUGGGUUUAAAGGGAGCGUAGAUGGGUUGUUAAGUCAGUUGUGAAAGUUUGCGGCUCAACCGUCAAAUUGCAAUUGAUACUGGCAGUCUUGAGUACAGUUGAGGUAGGCGGAAUUCGUGGUGUAGCGGUGAAAUGCUUAGAUAUCACGAAGAACCCCGAUUGCGAAGGCAGCUUACUAAACUGUGACUGACAUUGAUGCUCGAAAGUGUGGGUAUCAAACAGGAUUAGAUACCCCUGUAGUC
RNAcentral lists this ribosomal RNA (460 nucleotides) under uncultured bacterium. Its description in RNAcentral is "partial 16S ribosomal RNA". It matches the Rfam family "Bacterial small subunit ribosomal RNA", at positions 338 to 795 of the family's 1533-position model. The record is from RNAcentral.